UACGUAGGUGGCAAGCGUUGUCCGGAUUUAUUGGGUUUAAAGGGUGCGUAGGCGGCUUUGUAAGUCAGUGGUGAAAUAUGGCAGCUCAACUGUCAAGGUGCCAUUGAUACUGCAGAGCUUGAGUACAGAUGAGGUAGGCGGAAUUGACGGUGUAGCGGUGAAAUGCUUAGAUAUGACAUAGAACACCAAUUGCGAAGGCAGCUGGCUACACAAAUAUUGACACUGAGGCACGAAAGCGUGGGGAUCAAACAGG
Molecule: ribosomal RNA, 253 nt
Filed under: uncultured bacterium
Lineage: Bacteria
Description: partial 16S ribosomal RNA
Rfam family: Bacterial small subunit ribosomal RNA
Source: RNAcentral